Molecule: unclassified non-coding RNA, 240 nt
Filed under: soil metagenome
Description: partial contains 5.8S ribosomal RNA, internal transcribed spacer 2, and large subunit ribosomal RNA
Source: RNAcentral
AACCAUAGAAACCUGCGGAGUACCUGCGGAGGGAUCAUUAUAGUAUAUGGAAUCUCCAUUCUAUAAACCCACUCUGCGUAUCUUGUAACUGUUGCUUCCAUGGGACUUGGUUCCGCCACACCGGCUUCACGGCUGGUGAGCGCCCAUGGAAGGAGAAACAAAACUCUUCUCUGAAAUGUAGUCAGUCUGAACAAGUUUUUAUAAACGUUAAAACUUUCAGCAAUGGAUCUCAGAUCGGAA